This 1710-nucleotide ribosomal RNA is filed under the name Vibrio cholerae. RNAcentral's name for it is "partial 23S ribosomal RNA". It matches the Rfam family "Bacterial large subunit ribosomal RNA", at positions 1257 to 2925 of the family's 2925-position model. The record is from RNAcentral. Lineage: Bacteria; Pseudomonadati; Pseudomonadota; Gammaproteobacteria; Vibrionales; Vibrionaceae.
UGAAUCGUAAGGUUUGCUGGAGGUAUCAGAAGUGCGAAUGCUGACAUGAGUAACGACAAAGGGGGUGAAAAACCUCCUCGCCGGAAGACCAAGGGUUCCUGUCCAACGUUAAUCGGGGCAGGGUGAGUCGACCCCUAAGGUGAGGCCGAAAGGCGUAAUCGAUGGGAAACGGGUUAAUAUUCCCGUACUUCUGACUAUUGCGAUGGGGGGACGGAGAAGGCUAGGUGGGCCAGGCGACGGUUGUCCUGGUUCAAGUGCGUAGGCUUGAGAGUUAGGUAAAUCCGGCUCUCUCUAAGGCUGAGACACGACGUCGAGCUACUACGGUAGUGAAGUCAUUGAUGCCAUGCUUCCAGGAAAAGCCUCUAAGCUUCAGAUAGUCAGGAAUCGUACCCCAAACCGACACAGGUGGUCGGGUAGAGAAUACCAAGGCGCUUGAGAGAACUCGGGUGAAGGAACUAGGCAAAAUGGUACCGUAACUUCGGGAGAAGGUACGCUCUUGAUGGUGAAGUCCCUCGCGGAUGGAGCUGACGAGAGUCGCAGAUACCAGGUGGCUGCAACUGUUUAUUAAAAACACAGCACUGUGCAAAAUCGCAAGAUGACGUAUACGGUGUGACGCCUGCCCGGUGCCGGAAGGUUAAUUGAUGGGGUUAGCGCAAGCGAAGCUCUUGAUCGAAGCCCCGGUAAACGGCGGCCGUAACUAUAACGGUCCUAAGGUAGCGAAAUUCCUUGUCGGGUAAGUUCCGACCUGCACGAAUGGCGUAAUGAUGGCCACGCUGUCUCCACCCGAGACUCAGUGAAAUUGAAAUCGCUGUGAAGAUGCAGUGUACCCGCGGCUAGACGGAAAGACCCCGUGAACCUUUACUACAGCUUGGCACUGAACAUUGAACCUACAUGUGUAGGAUAGGUGGGAGGCUAUGAAGACGUGACGCCAGUUGCGUUGGAGCCGUCCUUGAAAUACCACCCUUGUAUGUUUGAUGUUCUAACUUAGACCCAUUAUCUGGGUUGAGGACAGUGCCUGGUGGGUAGUUUGACUGGGGCGGUCUCCUCCCAAAGAGUAACGGAGGAGCACGAAGGUGGGCUAAUCACGGUUGGACAUCGUGAGGUUAGUGCAAUGGCAUAAGCCCGCUUAACUGCGAGAAUGACGGUUCGAGCAGGUGCGAAAGCAGGUCAUAGUGAUCCGGUGGUUCUGUAUGGAAGGGCCAUCGCUCAACGGAUAAAAGGUACUCCGGGGAUAACAGGCUGAUACCGCCCAAGAGUUCAUAUCGACGGCGGUGUUUGGCACCUCGAUGUCGGCUCAUCACAUCCUGGGGCUGAAGUCGGUCCCAAGGGUAUGGCUGUUCGCCAUUUAAAGUGGUACGCGAGCUGGGUUUAGAACGUCGUGAGACAGUUCGGUCCCUAUCUGCCGUGGGCGUUGGAAGAUUGAAGGGGGCUGCUCCUAGUACGAGAGGACCGGAGUGGACGAACCUCUGGUGUUCGGGUUGUGUCGCCAGACGCAUUGCCCGGUAGCUAAGUUCGGAAUUGAUAAGCGCUGAAAGCAUCUAAGCGCGAAGCGAGCCCUGAGAUGAGUCUUCCCUGACAGUUUAACUGUCCUAAAGGGUUGUUCGAGACUAGAACGUUGAUAGGCAGGGUGUGUAAGCGUUGUGAGGCGUUGAGCUAACCUGUACUAAUUGCCCGUGAGGCUUAACCAUACAACACCCAAGGGGUUUUGUA